Molecule: transfer RNA, 70 nt
Filed under: Microcaldota archaeon
Lineage: Archaea; Nanobdellati; Microcaldota
Description: Candidatus Micrarchaeota archaeon (hot springs metagenome) tRNA-Arg
Source: RNAcentral
GCCCCCAUAGUAUAGCUUGGAUAGUAUACGGCCCUGCGGAGGCCGGGGGAGGGGUUCAAAUCGGGUGGUG